GGGGAUUUAGCUCAGUGGUAGAGCACUUGCCUAGCGAGGGCAAGGCCCUGGGUUCGGUCCCCAGCUCCG
Molecule: non-coding RNA, 69 nt
Organism: Rattus norvegicus (Norway rat)
Lineage: Eukaryota; Metazoa; Chordata; Mammalia; Rodentia; Muridae
Source: Rfam